CCUACGGGAGGCUGCAGUGAGGAAUAUUGGUCAAUGGACGAGAGUCUGAACCAGCCAAGUAGCGUGAAGGAUGACUGCCCUAUGGGUUGUAAACUUCUUUUAUAUGGGAGUAAAAUGUUCCACGUGUGGGGUUUUGUAUGUACCAUAUGAAUAAGGAUCGGCUAACUCCGUGCCAGCAGCCGCGGUAAUACGGAGGAUCCGAGCGUUAUCCGGAUUUAUUGGGUUUAAAGGGAGCGUAGGUGGAUUGUUAAGUCAGAUGUGAAAGUUUGCGGCUCAACCGUAACAUUGCAGUUGAAACUGGCAGUCUAGAGUACAGUAGAGGUGGGCGGAAUUCGUGGUGUAGCGGUGAAAUGCUUAGAUAUCACGAAGAACUCCGAUUGCGAAGGCAGCUCACUGGACUGCAACUGACACUGAGGCUCGAAAGUGUGGGUAUCAAACAGGAUUAGAUACCCCGGUAGUC
This 460-nucleotide ribosomal RNA is filed under the name uncultured bacterium. Its description in RNAcentral is "partial 16S ribosomal RNA". It matches the Rfam family "Bacterial small subunit ribosomal RNA", at positions 338 to 795 of the family's 1533-position model. The record is from RNAcentral.